GAAUCCUUAGCUCAGCUGGUUUAGAGCGCCACCCUGACACGGUGGAGGUCGGCAGUUCGAAUCUGCCAGGGUUCA
This 75-nucleotide transfer RNA is filed under the name Porphyromonas sp. RNAcentral describes it as "tRNA-Val". It matches the Rfam family "tRNA". Rfam says of the family: Transfer RNA (tRNA) molecules are approximately 80 nucleotides in length. Their secondary structure includes four short double-helical elements and three loops (D, anti-codon, and T loops). The record is from RNAcentral. Lineage: Bacteria; Pseudomonadati; Bacteroidota; Bacteroidia; Bacteroidales; Porphyromonadaceae.